CCUAACACAUGCAAGUCGAACGGUAACAGGAAGAAGCUUGCUUCUUUGCUGACGAGUGGCGGACGGGUGAGUAAUGUCUGGGAAACUGCCUGAUGGAGGGGGAUAACUACUGGAAACGGUAGCUAAUACCGCAUAACGUCGCAAGACCAAAGAGGGGGACCUUCGGGCCUCUUGCCAUCGGAUGUGCCCAGAUGGGAUUAGCUAGUAGGUGGGGUAACGGCUCACCUAGGCGACGAUCCCUAGCUGGUCUGAGAGGAUGACCAGCCACACUGGAACUGAGACACGGUCCAGACUCCUACGGGAGGCAGCAGUGGGGAAUAUUGCACAAUGGGCGCAAGCCUGAUGCAGCCAUGCCGCGUGUAUGAAGAAGGCCUUCGGGUUGUAAAGUACUUUCAGCGGGGAGGAAGGGAGUAAAGUUAAUACCUUUGCUCAUUGACGUUACCCGCAGAAGAAGCAUCGGCUAACUCCGUGCCAGCAGCCGCGGUAAUACGGAGGGUGCAAGCGUUAAUCGGAAUUACUGGGCGU
This 525-nucleotide ribosomal RNA is filed under the name uncultured bacterium. Its description in RNAcentral is "bacterial SSU rRNA". It matches the Rfam family "Bacterial small subunit ribosomal RNA", at positions 47 to 561 of the family's 1533-position model. The record is from RNAcentral.